Molecule: microRNA precursor, 59 nt
Organism: Bison bison bison
Lineage: Eukaryota; Metazoa; Chordata; Mammalia; Artiodactyla; Bovidae
Source: Ensembl
AAAAAGUUCAUUCAAGUUUUCCUGUAACAUCGUAUGGAAAAGCCCAGAUGAACUUUUUG